Molecule: RNA transcript, 8190 nt
Organism: Vanessa tameamea
Lineage: Eukaryota; Metazoa; Arthropoda; Insecta; Lepidoptera; Nymphalidae
Gene: kmr
Gene name: kramer
Exons: 24
Source: RefSeq, a predicted model, not a curated record
CCGCGCGGCCGCGCGCCGCUCAAUCGAUACCAAGCCUUUAUAUUAAAAAAAACAUCAUAUAAUCUCAAUAAAACCGAAUAAUAUUGUUCCUUAAACGAUAAAGAUAAAUAUUUUAACGUAAAACAGUGCAUAACAUUCUUAUAAACAGUGCAUUGACAAUUCUAUUAGCGUAAAUAAGUGUGGCGCAGAAACGUUUAGGAGAGACUAGUGUUCGGCACACCGUGCUAAAUGAAUCUUGCGGUGAAUUUGGAGCGGGAGGAUUACAACAUGGCGGGGGCUCCAGCAUCUUGUAUGAGCGCGGAGCACGGCUGCGUCAUGUUCGAUUGUCUCGUACAUCUGUGGGACUGGAUUGAUCCACCGGUGACUCAUACAGAUUUUCAAAUGGAGAAUAAAAAAAAUGUGACGGCAACGCAACAACCUCUCACGCAGCAACACCUCAUGGCACACCAUGUUCACCCCGAUCAAAUAUAUUCGCCUCAACAUUCACAGUUACCUGCGCAUUUAAACAACCAGUCCGCGCAAAUUCAACCUAAUGGCGUCAUGCACCAGCUAUUGCAAAGUCAAUAUCAUUCCAACAUGAAUGCACGAUCGCCGCUCCUUGAAAACAGACACGAGAUGUAUGGAACUGGUCAAAAUCACGACUACGCCAGACAUUACGGAGCGAACGACAAUUAUAAUUAUGCACAGUCUCCUCCACGCCUCGAAAGAACGGAAAUCCACGUAGACCAAAAUGUAAACCAUGAACUGCAAAAUAUUCCUAAAGGAUAUAAUGCAGAAGUGUACCAAGAUUACUUAAAACGAAACCCACCGAAAGAAAGUAACCAAAUAUAUCAAAACCAUCAACAUACGUAUAGGCCUAAUGUUAAUCAGUACGGAUCAAAGCCGUAUCUUCCAUAUUCAAAUAGAAUAGGUCCACAGAGUAAUACCGAAUUGUUAAGGAGACAGUAUAAUGAAAUACAGCAAAUGAAAAUGCAACAACAAAUGCACUAUCAAAAUCAGGCACAGAUGCAUCAGCAACAAAAAUUUGCUGAGCGACAGUUACUACUACAACAAAUUCAUGGCGUUCAACCACCGCCGAAUUUACAAAAUAGUAUUUAUUCAGAUAGUUCUUAUAGAGAUUUGUACAGUAGUAAAAAUGAUUUCAAAGAUUAUAGCAGUCCAGAUAUACAAAAAGAUAUCGAUAUGUACGCUAAGAACAACGAGUACAAGGAAAGAGACGUACCUAUCAGGCAAUAUCAAGAAACACAAUGGCAAUCUAAUCAACCUGAUUACCGGGAGUCAGAAAGGCAAAAUCAACUGGACCAAGGCAAAUCAAAAAACCAAUCUCAAGCUUCCGAAUUCAACAUUCAAAAGAAUAACCCGGCAGUGGUUUCCCCGAUGAAAUCAAGCGAAUCCAGUACGCCUAGUAUAAAAUCUCCUUCUUUAGAAAGUCGACGGAGUAGUAGUGGUACUCAAGCAUUACGAUCUCCGACUGCGCAACGAAUACCAUCUGCUCCUGUAACUAUGGCUGGACUAUUAUAUAAGCAAGGAUCCGAUGGUCUUAAAGUUUGGCGGAAGAGAUGGUUUGUUUUAUCGGAAUACUGCUUGUUCUAUUAUAAAAGUCAAGAUGAAGAGAAACUCCUAGGAUCUGUGCUUUUGCCAUCUUACAAAGUAUCAGCAUGUACUGCAGACGAUAAAGUGAUGCGGAAGUUUGCUUUUAAGUUGGAACACGCAAAUAUGCGGACGUAUGUGUUAGCUGCAUUAGACCAGGAAACGAUGUUGAAGUGGGUUAAAGCGCUCACUAUGGCCGCUCUUAUGCAAAGUCCCACUGAACAGCAGCAAAAACAAAAUGACCGAGCAGCUGCGAAAACAGAGGAUGGCGAUGAAACAGCAGGCCCAACAUAUGCAAAUGCUCCACCGAAACCGAGACGAUCUAAUGAUGGAUAUAAUUCACCUAGUCCUGAUAUGUACGAUCCAAAUUACGAUCUACUCAAAAAACCUGCAUCACACUACAGUCAAGGCACCAAUCAUACUAGAUACCAGGACACAAACUAUAGCACUAAACAGGAGAUUUACACACGCACCCCGAUAUCACCGCCAACGCAAAUGCCAUAUCCAACAAAACGGCCCUAUGAUAUGCAGAAUCUAUCAUUACCAUUAACUAAUACUGUUUCUGAAACACUAGAUAAAAAUCACACACCCUCCAUGUACAAAUCUAAUUCACAAUCCCCUUAUUUCGAUAGUAGGAAAAGUCAGCAACAACAGGCAGAAGAUGAUAAAAUCGAGAGUCUAUACGAAAAGCAACCAAACUACAAUCCAUUCUUACAAGAUUAUGGACAGAAAGUUGAACAGAAGCAUAAAGUAGAUGAAGUUAAUCAGCCACCUACUGAUUUAAAUAAAAUAUCCAUUUAUAAUGAAAGUUUUUCUGAAACUCGAAGUGACUCAAAACCAUUAGCCGAUUCGAGUGUGUACGGAAGGGAAUUAUAUGGCGAUUUAAAUAACAAGAUAACUAAACCAACAACGUCAAUGAAUGACCGAUUAGCUGAGAGACGCACUCCAGAUGCUUAUAGAAGAUCGACAGCGAUGUCUUCAUAUAACUCUGAAAAGAUCGGGGAUUACGAAGACAUUUAUGCAGCCUACGGUAACGAAAAAACAUAUACAAAAUCACCAAAUCCAUCACGUGAUGCCGUUAGUCUAUCUAGUAACAAAUCUCCGCAAGAACAACCCUUUGGUUAUACGCAAGAAAAAGUUUUUAGUGGACCCUCGGUUUUACGUAGGAAGAAGAUGCAAGCAAGUGGCAUUCAGCCACCGAUGCCACGACCACAUAGUGCCGAUUUCCUAGAGUAUGAAUCAAAGAACGAGGCUCUCAACAAAACCAUGCCGGCACGAAACACUUAUGAUCCACCGAAACAACCACAACGUCCUAAGUCUAGCCUUGAUAUCAAUUCUUAUUACGAUCCUAGUUCAGAUAAAUAUUAUUCGGAGGAAAGUUAUGCACAAAAAAUGCGACAAUCGGCACAAUAUUUACAACAGCAAGGUCUUGGACCAAAAAAUAUCCAAAUCCCCCUAGAGAAAUAUGCAAGUGGACUUGCUGAAAAACAAUUACAUUCUCCAUAUGCUCAAACUAUUAAUAAUAACUACGAAACCGAGUUUAAUGUUAACCGUAAUAUUCGUGAUAAUGUGAGUUACAAUUCAAAGUACAGUGAUCUAGAAGGAAUGAAUUCUAACUGGACUUUGAAGGAAAAAGAUCUAGAAAAACAGAAAGAUUAUUUAAACAGAAGUGGAAGUGUAAUGAGUGAUAGUUCUAAUGUUAGUGGUUUUGUUAAGGAUACUAACAGAUAUGACCCGAAUAUAGAAGGAUUUAUAAGAUCAGCAAGUGCAAGACUUCCUUCAUCUACUGAAAGAGAUGGUGAAAAGAAGGUACAACAGCGUGAGGAGUCAAUGAAAAGACUUUUGGAAUGGAAGCAAAGGAUGUUGCAGUCUCCGCUUACUAGAAAGAGCACACCAGCUACCAUUUCUCUAGCAAGAUCUUUAAAUCAAAGUAGACAAUCAUUGCGAUCAGAUCAGUAUAAGCCUAAGUCCUACAAAAAUGCAUCUUACAACAGUUAUUCUUCAGACGAUGAAGCUUCUAUGACGAUGUCAGGCACGAAUAUCGAACCAAGCCCAAAUAACAACAACAAUAUUAAUCACACAAACCAGCAAAAUUUGUCAAAAAAAGCAUUUCUCGGAAGUAACACAUCUAUUGGAAGGAGUAAUAGAGAUGGCAAUAUACCAGUGCGAGCUGUUAGUCCAAGAGUACGCUGGGUUGAGGAAAAACCGUCUAAUGACCAAUACGAUUCGCAGCUGAUUACAACCUCGCAACAAAAUUUAAAUACAACAAUGGGAGCAGAAGAGUCGUGGGCAACGGUUAGGUCUCCAUCAAGAGUUCAACAACAACCGAUUAAAGCGGUGAGCCCUAGGAUACGAAGGAACACUGAAAAUGAUGAUAUGCGUAAGGAGAUUCAAAAUCAAGAAAUAAGUGAAGUACCAACAGCCGGUGAACUUCUUGGAAGAAGUCAUGAGGAAUUAGUUCUGCUUUUGAUUCAAUUAAGAAGACGCCAUGCGGCGACUCAUCGUGCUAUUGAAACGUGCUGUGCUCAAAUUAGUAGCAUUGAGGACUGUCUGAGUUCAUUAAAAGCUAUGGAGCGAGAAGAAAGUUUGCAACGCUUAGAACAGUUGAAGAUGCAACUCAUGGAACUUGAAAACCAAUACGAAAAAAGCAAGCCAUUGGUACAAUUAGUCGAUAAUAUGGUCAAAUUAGGAUCAUUGUAUAAUAGACCAGGUUCUACUAUUGAAAGAUUGGAAAGAAAUCAGCGUUUACGGCAAAAGGUCCUCGCUGAACAUGCUAUGGAGCAACAAAGAUGGUUAGAAAGCGCUGCAGCUGGCAAGCCUCUUGAAACAGAAGCAGCUAGAGUGAGAGUUGCAGAAUUAUGGGCACUAGAACAAGAAUUAGCCGAUGAAGCUGCAAUACUGCAGGGUUUGAAAACUGAUAAAGACGCCAUCGAUUCUCUUCUUACUGGAGUUCGCAGCAAACUCGAUAGUGUCAGUAGCAGGUCUCAACAAUCGAAUAGCGGUUUGGAAGUGGAGCUCGCCCGAGUGCAUGCCAUGCUGGCGCACAAUUCUAAGGUUUAUAAGAAAUUGGAACAAACGGUGGCUGACAACGCGCGCCUGGAGCGCGAGCUGCACCACCUGCGGCGCGCGCUGCGGGCGCAACGCGCCAACGCGCACGCGCAGCCCGCGCACCCCACCGCCAUGCUGGAGGACGAGGUAACUCGUGUUCAACACCUAGUGUCGGCGCUACAACGUCAAAGACAAGAGCUGAGCCGUGCUGUUAGACAUCUGACGCAACAGUCCCAUGCACUGCAAACCACUCACGAUUCCAUGCCUGCUAAACGUCCUGGCAGGAAUCCGACCACAUGCUGGCAAGAAACUAACUUAGACACAGGUCAUACAGUCGACCACGGUCAAUCUGAUUACGAUUAUGAAACGGGAACUCCAGUUUUCCCACCUGGACAUUAUGGACAAAGCAAUGUUGAAACACCACUCUAUGUUGAUACUAGAACACCUGGAAUGGAUGUGGCAUCGCCAAUUAACAGUGAAGACAUGCAGCAUACUGCUUUUGGCAAUUUAUCGAACGUAGAAAAACAGGAGAUUAAAACUGUUCGUAUUGUAAAAAGAGAGAGUGAAAGACGCCAAAGAGAUAGAGAGCGAUCCUUGCAGCCGAUGUCCGAUUGGACCACCAACAAUAUCACUGCCAACCUCGACCAGUUCCUAGAAGAAGAACUAGUUCAGCCUAUUAAUAACUACCGAGCUUCAUCCUUGCCUAGAACAGAUUACAAUAAAUACGAAGAAUAUUAUACAAAACCACAGAAUGUCGAGCCUCCUAAUUAUCUUCGAUUGAACGAUAAAAAUAUGGAUCAAAGCCCGAAGUACCCAUCGAGCCCUUCCUUGUCCAACUAUGAUUAUUCUCGUGAUAUGUCAUCAUUAAGCAGCAGCUACCAUAAGAGCUAUGACAAAUACGAUCGUACCGUUUCUUUGUCAACCCAGUAUUUGAACAGUCCAACUGAUAGUUCUCGGACGUUGACCAACGACCCAAUGUCGAAAACGAGCAGCAUUGUCAGUUUAACGAGAUCCAAUAUGGAGCUGUCUCCUAUAUUUAAAAGCGAAGCCGCGAAGCAGAUUAUAACUGAAAUGUCAGGAGAAAACAUCAAAAAUGGUUCUAUGCACAGACGACAAGUGCCAAAAGAAAAGAGAAGACAUUAUACUGCACCGCAUCAUUUAAGCGCUAAGACACUUAAUGAAAUGCCUAAGGAUAUGUACAACCAAGACGCUCUGGGUAGGUCCCUGGAUGACGCUGACAUGGAACGAGCUUUAAGAGGAGCAGCACCAGACGUUGUACGGUCUGCCUUGCCAUCUAGAAAAAUGCCAGAUUCUAUUGACCAACUGCUGGCUGCCCCGCAGAAAAUCAUUAUACCAGAGCGGUAUAUUCCUGAAAAGCCUCCAGAACUAUCGCCAGAGGAGCAGCAAAAACGUCAGGAAAAGGUAGAGUCUAUCAAGAAGAUGCUUACCGGUUCUUCUGCUGAUCCCAGCAAGAGCCCGGACGGUGAAGAGAAGCGACAACGAGAACACUUGCUCCAGAUGAACCAGAUCCUUGCCAAGCAGGUCACCGAGAUGAGCAAAAUCAUAGCUGGAACCACCGCCGAAGGGCCGUCCAGCGCAAACAACUAAUCAACGAAAUAUACCACUUUUCAUAUCACGCACAAUUAGACAUAUAGUUGACAUAUAGCAUUAUCAUCAACAGGAAGAAAAUAAAUGAUAAUAAAAUUUUGCAUAGAAUUUUAUUGCUUUAAAUUUCUGGCGGUCCUUAGAAGAUUCAUCCACUAUAUAAGAGCAUGGUUUCGUUUUUUGCAUUUUGUUUAAAAGCCUUGGAAGAGCUGCCUCUACACGAUAACAAUGAUGACUACGAAGACCGAUCGCCUGAUGUCGAGCUGCCGAUUUAUCAACAAAGGGAUAAUUUCUUUACAUGAAAUGAAUAUUCAAAUUUAUUGACCCAUUUUGAAUAACCGUGUUUACUUUGAAUGAUCGCUUUCUAAUCUUAUUGUCUAAUUUAAUCUAUAUUCAUUUCAAUGUAUUCUUAUUUGCAGAUAAUAUCUCUUACAAUUGACGUAGUUUAAACUAAUGAUUUUUUUUAUGAUAUCAUUGUUAAAAUUGGAAGUUUUUCACUCUCAAAACGCAAAAUAUCUUUUGAGGUGAGGUCUCAUCUGAAUCACAAUGUGAGUCGUGGCUACGUAAAUGAGUAGUGAUCUAUAUUAAUCAACGUAAAUCUAAAUAAGGAAAAUCUUGACGCCAUUUAUAUGGCAUAUGUAUGUUGUGUGAAUUGCCUUCCCAAAAGCCUUCCUAAAAUAAAUAAAACAUCCUUCGCUUUCAGCUUACUUACGUACAUAUCGUGACAUAUCUCUGGAGUAACAAAGUACGAUCCGUGUCCCCGGGGUUGAGUUUCUUAUAAUAAUUGCUCAAUUUUAUAAACAUUCCUCCAAUAAACUUUAUUUGUUACGUAGAUAAUGUGUUAUAAAAUGAAUUUCAAGCUGUUCAUAUUAAUUCUAGGGCCAGUUGAUAAUAAAAUUCUCAUAAUCAAUUAAUGGAAUAUAGUCUUCUAUGUAAAGGCCUUCAAUUGUUACGUUAGAUGUAAGAUUAUAUGACUUACAACGUAGAUUAUUUAUAAAUAAAUUAUAAUUAUAAAGAUGCCAUGUUAAAAAGUAUACUUACUAUAGUAAAGCACACGUUUAAUUUAAUUUCUUAAACGAAUAUAAAAUGCGUUUUAGUAUUGUUUCGUUAUUAAAUUAUUAUUAAUUAAGAUGUAUUUUGUUAAACGAAUUAUAUAAUUUCAAUUAAACCUCCUUUAGAUAUUAAAAAGAUUUUAGUUUUGUGUCAGCCGUAGAUAUUAUAUUAUGUAAUCGUAUUUGCACAUAGUUGUCAAUUGUAGGUACUUAAAACUUCUUAUGAAUAUAAUAUACCAAUGUAUUUAUCAAGACUAUUAUAUUAUAGUGUCGUAUAUCCGAAUGCUUCGCGUAUUAUUUGUAGGAAGCAACGAAUUGGAACACAUGUGAUAAACAUUAAUAUACCUGAUUUUUUUAUGAUAUCACUUGUAUACAUCUUUCAAUAUAUAAGUAACCCUUAUAUGUUAGACGUAGACAAUUAGUACAUGACUGUAUUAGCCUAUGUAAGCUUUAAAUAUUAGUGUUAUGACUCCGACAAUUGUAUAACUUUGUUACUGUCGACGUUGCUUCACGUAGCUUUCUAUUAUUAAACGUUUUCCCGGAGUAUGUGAUGAAUAUAUUAUAUAAUUAGAUACAUCUUCGUUUUAUACUCUUUUACUAACAAAACCUUUAGUUAUAAAAUUUUCAUACAAUAUUGAAAAGUCACGAAUUUAAAGUUAUGUAUGGCGAUUCGCGUUAUCCAAUGCGACUUAAGCCUUAAUCAUCCCACGUAAACUAUACUAUUGAAGAAUUUAAAUAUAAUAAAUUGGUAAAAACUAUUAAUUUUCUAGUAAAUUAUAGACUGAUAUAGUUUUUGCCUUAUAAGCCUGUCCUUUAAAAGAUUUCCUAAUAUUUCAUUGUUUAUAUUGUCAAUUAUGUAUUUGUCUGUCUGAAUAAAGAUAACAUUAAUAUUGUU